GGUGAAAGCAAUUCACCUGUGCAAUGGGAAGGGGUGGAACCAGGUUGCACCCCUCCCUGAGCCUCAUUUAAGGGCUUGCUGGCAUACUGGAAAGUUCUCUGCCUGGAGAUUCUGCCUUCUGGAGAAUUUGGUGGGCCCUGCUCUUUGGGAUGGGAGACAACAAUUGCUGUUUCCAUCUUGCCUAAAGGUUUCUGGUCUGGAAGUGGAGUACUGUCUGUGUUGAAGACUGACUCAAGUCCUGCUGCCAAUGAGAAUGACUGGAAGUGCAGUCACCCAUACUUCAAACGCUUGGCUGAAGUUUUGAUAGAUUCUGGAUGUAUUUAUUCUUUGAAUAAGAACUUCUGUGGUAUUGUUACCUUUGUGUUAAUUUCUCCUGUGCUCUAGGCAUGAAACUCUUCCUUUUUUUUUCCCAAAUGUAGAAUUUGUCAACUGCAAUAAAGGGAGAUGCUUUUAUAUAUGAUAGAUGUCAUGACUUUUUUCCAUGUGACAGCAGUACUCCAAAUCUAAAAGCAUAUCUCCCAUGAGCCAAAUGAGGUCUCUGUGUUUAUCAGUAAUAAACGGUAUGCUUAUAGCAUGGUCUAAUAUAGAAGUAUAAAGUUGUUUUGUGUUCUGGAAUCAGAUGGGUUUUGACAGGAUUAAGCUGUAAGCUUACACACAAGAGUGCACUAACUGCUGUUAUCUUGUGCAGCUAUGAUUGCAAGAAUCUGAAUUUACGCAUUUCAAGCAAGUUUGAUGUCUGCAGCUGCACUUCAUUAAGCAGUGCAUGUUUAGGCCACCAAGGGUAUCCCUUGUCUCUAAGUAAAAAGCUGGAAUUCUGUUCAUUUUAAUAACAGGUACGGCACAAGUGUCAAUUAUGCUAUUCUGAGGUAGAGAAGUCACAGUUUUGGGAAGAGAAAUUGCAUUUCAUUGCUUGCUUUGAGUGAAUGAAUAAGCAACAUCUUGUUCUAUGGGCUCAGUGUCAUGGGACAAAAGGAAUUAAACUAGUGGCUGAUCUAAAAAUGCACCUAGGACAAUUUGGAUUCAAAAGAUACUGUUCUGAGGCAG
RNAcentral lists this long non-coding RNA (1044 nucleotides) under Gallus gallus (chicken). RNAcentral's name for it is "lncRNA (ENSGALG00010029088.1)". The record is from RNAcentral. Lineage: Eukaryota; Metazoa; Chordata; Aves; Galliformes; Phasianidae.